RNAcentral lists this ribosomal RNA (253 nucleotides) under uncultured bacterium. RNAcentral describes it as "partial 16S ribosomal RNA". It matches the Rfam family "Bacterial small subunit ribosomal RNA", at positions 524 to 776 of the family's 1533-position model. The record is from RNAcentral.
UACGAAGGUGGCAAUCGUUGUUCGGAAUUACUGGGCGUAAAGCGCGCGUAGGCGGUUGGGUAAGUCGUGCGUGAAAGCCCCGGGCUCAACCCGGGAAGUGCGGAGGAUACUGCCCGGCUAGAGGAUGGGAGAGGAGAGUGGAAUUCCCGGUGUAGCGGUGAAAUGCGUAGAUAUCGGGAGGAAGGCCGGUGGCGAAGGCGGCGCUCUGGAACAUUGCUGACGCUGAGGCUCGAAAGCGUGGGGAGAAAACAGG